RNAcentral lists this ribosomal RNA (305 nucleotides) under uncultured bacterium. RNAcentral describes it as "bacterial SSU rRNA". It matches the Rfam family "Bacterial small subunit ribosomal RNA", at positions 338 to 641 of the family's 1533-position model. The record is from RNAcentral.
CCUACGGGACGCAGCAGUGAGGAAUAUUGGUUAAUGGGCGGGAGCCUGAACCAGCCAAGCCGCGUGAAGGAAGAAGGCGCCAGGCGUCGUAAACUUCUUUUGUCGGGGAACAAAGGGCGCCACGUGUGGCGUUGUGAGUGUACCCGAAGAAAAAGCAUCGGCUAACUCCGUGCCAGCAGCCGCGGUAAUACGGAGGAUGCGAGCGUUAUCCGGAUUUAUUGGGUUUAAAGGGUGCGUAGGCGGUUUUUUAAGUUAGUGGUUAAACGUCAGGGCUUCACCUUGAUUUGCCAUUAAUACUGUAAGAC